UACGUAGGGUGCGAGCGUUAAUCGGAAUCACUGGGCGUAAAGCGCACGUAGGCGGCUUUCUAAGUCAGGGGUGAAAUCCUGGAGCUCAACUCCAGAACUGCCUUUGAUACUGGAGAGCUUGAGUCCGGGAGAGGUGAGUGGAACUCCGAGUGUAGAGGUGAAAUUCGUAGAUAUUCGGAAGAACACCAGUGGCGAAGGCGGCUCACUGGCCCGGUACUGACGCUGAUGUGCGAAAGCGUGGGGAGCAAACAGG
RNAcentral lists this ribosomal RNA (253 nucleotides) under uncultured bacterium. RNAcentral's name for it is "partial 16S ribosomal RNA". It matches the Rfam family "Bacterial small subunit ribosomal RNA", at positions 524 to 776 of the family's 1533-position model. The record is from RNAcentral.